CCAGAAGUUCAUGAAAAAACAAUCAAGGAAACAGAUGUAAUGAGUAGAGAUACUAUAGCAUGUCCAGUCUUAUAAGAAACCAGAAUCUUGAUUCCAAUAGGACAUGAGAGCACAAGUCUGGGGGGGUAUCAAAUAAGUAACCAGAGUUAACAUUUAUAUGAAAAAAGCAUGUAAUUAUGCACUUACUAUGUGUAAAGCACUAUUCUAAUGCUGGGGAUAUAAAUGGAAAAGUUAGCUAUUCCCUACUCCUAAGGAACUCAUAUUCUAUUGGAAGAUAUGGAUGGUUUCAUCUGAAAGUCAAAAGGAAAAGUCUCAGGGUCCUUACAAUGCCAAGUCAAAAUAAAAGAGCUCUUGAUGAAAAAAGUGGAGAAGGAGGAGGAAAAAGAGAAAGAGGAAGAAUGAAAAAAAAAAGAAGAGAAGAAGAAGAAUGUAGGUUGUUACGUAACUUGAAUAUGAAAAGAGAAGGUUUCAGAGUUCAGGGAAAGGGUAGACAGAAUCCAAUGGUUUAACUACCUGCAAGGGCAGUUGACCCAUGAUUUCAAGAAUUAUAUUUCUAAUGAAAUCCACACAAACAAUUUUGACAGUGAAGGAGGAAAAGAACUGUCUAAAGGACCAAUGUGGCUGAACAGAAAAAGACUUAACCAAUUUUCAUAUAU
This 656-nucleotide long non-coding RNA is filed under the name Monodelphis domestica (gray short-tailed opossum). RNAcentral describes it as "lncRNA (ENSMODG00000041741.1)". Lineage: Eukaryota; Metazoa; Chordata; Mammalia; Didelphimorphia; Didelphidae. The record is from RNAcentral.